CGAAGGAUGCAAGCGUUAUCCGGAUUCAUUGGGUUUAAAGGGAGCGUAGGUGGCCUUAUAAGUCAGUGGUGAAAUCCUGUUGCUUAACAGCAGAAUUGCCAUUGAUACUGUAGGGCUUGAGUAUAGUUGCCGUUGGCGGAAUAUGACAUGUAGUGGUGAAAUACAUAGAGAUGUCAUAGAACACCGAUUGCGAAGGCAGCUAACGAAACUAUAACUGACACUGAGGCUCGAAAGUGCGGGGAUCAAACAGGAUUAGAUACCCUGGUAGUCCGCACUGUAAACGAUGAUUACUCGCUGCUAGAGGGCAACUUUUAGUGGCUUAGCGAAAGCGAUAAGUAAUCCACCUGGGGAGUACGCCGGCAACGGUG
Molecule: ribosomal RNA, 368 nt
Filed under: uncultured organism
Description: bacterial SSU rRNA
Rfam family: Bacterial small subunit ribosomal RNA
Source: RNAcentral